ACACAUGCAAGUCGAACGAGGUAAACAAGUUGAAGUUUUCGGAUGGAUUCUUAUUUACCGAGUGGCGGACGGGUGAGUAACGCGUGGGUAACCUGCCUCAUACAGGGGGAUAACGGUUAGAAAUGACUGCUAAUACCGCAUAAGCGCACAGUACCGCAUGGUACGGUGUGAAAAACUCCGGUGGUAUGAGAUGGACCCGCGUCUGAUUAGCUAGUUGGUGGGGUAACGGCCCACCAAGGCGACGAUCAGUAGCCGACCUGAGAGGGUGACCGGCCACAUUGGGACUGAGACACGGCCCAGACUCCUACGGGAGGCAGCAGUGGGGGAUAUUGCACAAUGGAGGAAACUCUGAUGCAGCGACGCCGCGUGAGUGAAGAAGUAUUUCGGUAUGUAAAGCUCUAUCAGCAGGGAAGAAAAUGACGGUACCUGACUAAGAAGCCCCGGCUAACUACGUGCCAGCAGCCGCGGUAAUACGUAGGGGGCAAGCGUUAUCCGGAUUUACUGGGUGUAAAGGGAGCGUAGACGGCGACGCAAGUCUGAAGUGAAAUACCCGGGCUCAACCUGGGAACUGCUUUGGAAACUGUGUUGCUAGAGUGCUGGAGAGGUAAGCG
This 611-nucleotide ribosomal RNA is filed under the name uncultured bacterium. RNAcentral describes it as "bacterial SSU rRNA". It matches the Rfam family "Bacterial small subunit ribosomal RNA", at positions 51 to 663 of the family's 1533-position model. The record is from RNAcentral.